AGCUAACUCUGCUGUUUUGAGCCAGACCUUGUUCUGUUAGAAAAACGAGUCAAACAAAUGCCUACUUAAGGACUGUUGUACCACUAGAAACUUCUGUUUCCGUGGAUAACAGAGACAUCUCUGAAAGUCAACCCAAUCUUCUGGAGCAGUCCCUAUUUCUCUUUCACAGUAGUUCCAGCCUAAUGGCUGUUCUGCCUGUUGCAGAGCUCUUUCUGCACCAGCUUGCAUGCAACACCUUCUGCUGACCCCCAGAGGUCCAGAGAAUCAGAAGUGCCUUUGGCUCACGCUGCUGAUUAUCAGCUUAGCUUCUUG
RNAcentral lists this long non-coding RNA (312 nucleotides) under Chinchilla lanigera (long-tailed chinchilla). RNAcentral's name for it is "lncRNA (ENSCLAG00000025176.1)". Lineage: Eukaryota; Metazoa; Chordata; Mammalia; Rodentia; Chinchillidae. The record is from RNAcentral.